This 149-nucleotide non-coding RNA is filed under the name Pan troglodytes (chimpanzee). The record is from Rfam by way of RNAcentral. Lineage: Eukaryota; Metazoa; Chordata; Mammalia; Primates; Hominidae.
GCCGGGCAUGGUGGUGCGUGCCUGCAGUCCCAGCUACUUGGGAGGCUGAGGCGGGAGGAUCACUUGAGCCCGAGGAGGUUGAGGCUGCAGUGAGCCAUGAUUGUGCCACUGCAUUCCAGCUUGGGUGACAGAGUAAAACCCUGUCUCAU